GCUUCCCUGAUGUUAGCGGCGGACGGGUGAGUUAACACGUGGGUAACCUGCCUGUAAGACUGGGAUAACUCCGGGAAACCGGGGCUAAUACCGGAUGGUUGUUUGAACCGCAUGGUUCAAACAUAAAAGGUGGCUUCGGCUACCACUUACAGAUGGACCCGCGGCGCAUUAGCUAGUUGGUGAGGUAACGGCUCACCAAGGCAACGAUGCGUAGCCGACCUGAGAGGGUGAUCGGCCACACUGGGACUGAGACACGGCCCAGACUCCUACGGGAGGCAGCAGUAGGGAAUCUUCCGCAAUGGACGAAAGUCUGACGGAGCAACGCCGCGUGAGUGAUGAAGGUUUUCGGAUCGUAAAGCUCUGUUGUUAGGGAAGAACAAGUACCGUUCGAAUAGGGCGGUACCUUGACGGUACCUAACCAGAAAGCCACGGCUAACUACGUGCCAGCAGCCGCGGUAAUACGUAGGUGGCAAGCGUUGUCCGGAAUUAUUGGGCGUAAAGGGCUCGCAGGCGGUUUCUUAAGUCUGAUGUGAAAGCCCCCGGCUCAACCGGGGAGGGUCAUUGGAAACUGGGGAACUUGAGUGCAGAAGAGGAGAGUGGAAUUCCACGUGUAGCGGUGAAAUGCGUAGAGAUGUGGAGGAACACCAGUGGCGAAGGCGACUCUCUGGUCUGUAACUGACGCUGAGGAGCGAAAGCGUGGGGAGCGAACAGA
Molecule: ribosomal RNA, 712 nt
Filed under: Bacillus licheniformis
Lineage: Bacteria; Bacillati; Bacillota; Bacilli; Caryophanales; Bacillaceae
Description: bacterial SSU rRNA
Rfam family: Bacterial small subunit ribosomal RNA
Source: RNAcentral